ACAGUCGGGUUCGGGGUUUCGGGCAGCCAUGGCGAAUUUUCGGCAGGAUUUUACCCCAGUGAAAAAGGCUUGUAAUUUACCCUGAUCAGCUAAGAUGUUAUUUCACUGGAUUAUUUAAUGGAUAGACUUAUUGGGCAUAUAUUUGGAUAUCUCUGGAUCAGCUAAGAUGUUAUUUCACUGGAUUAUUUAAUUGGGCAUAUAAUUGGAUAUCUCUGGUAAGUUUGUCUUUGUUUUG
Molecule: long non-coding RNA, 235 nt
Organism: Saccostrea cuccullata (small rock oyster)
Lineage: Eukaryota; Metazoa; Mollusca; Bivalvia; Ostreida; Ostreidae
Exons: 3
Source: RefSeq, a predicted model, not a curated record